This 265-nucleotide ribosomal RNA is filed under the name uncultured bacterium. RNAcentral's name for it is "partial 16S ribosomal RNA". The record is from RNAcentral.
CUGCUGCCUUCCGUAGGAGUUUGGUCCGUGUCUCAGUACCAAUGUGGGGGGUUAACCUCUCAGUCCCCCUAUGUAUCGUCGCCUUGGUAAGCCGUUACCUUACCAACCAGCUAAUACAACGCAUGCCCAUCUGUAACCGCCGAAACUUUCAACCACAAGAGAUGCCUCUCAUAGUGUUAUGCGGUAUUAGUACCGAUUUCUCAGUGUUACUCCCCCUGUUACAGGUAGGUUGCAUACGCGUUACGCACCCGUGCGCCGGUCGCCA